This 574-nucleotide ribosomal RNA is filed under the name uncultured archaeon. RNAcentral describes it as "bacterial SSU rRNA". It matches the Rfam family "Archaeal small subunit ribosomal RNA", at positions 49 to 630 of the family's 1478-position model. The record is from RNAcentral.
CCAUGCGAGUCGAAUGUAGCAAUACAUGGCGAACUGCUCAGUAACACGUGGACAACUGCCCUUAGGACGGGGAUAAACCCGGAAACUGGGUAUAAUACCCGAUAGGUCUCGAUUGCUGGAAUGCAUCGAGAUUUAAAGCUCCGGCGCCUAAGGAUGGGUCUGCGGCCUAUCAGGUAGUAGUGGGUGUAGCGUACCUACUAGCCUACGACGGGUACGGGUUGUGAGAGCAAGAGCCCGGAGAUGGAUUCUGAGACACGAAUCCAGGCCCUACGGGGUGCAGCAGGCGCGAAAACUUUACAAUGCUGGCAACAGCGAUAAGGGAACCUCGAGUGCCAGGUUACAAAUCUGGCUGUCGAGAUGCCUAAAAAGCAUUUCAUAGCAAGGGCCGGGCAAGACCGGUGCCAGCCGCCGCGGUAACACCGGCGGCUCGAGUGGUAACCGUUAUUAUUGGGUCUAAAGGGUCUGUAGCCGGCCGGAUAAGUCUCUUGAGAAAUCUGGCAGCUUAACUGUCAGGCUUUCAGGAGAUACUGUCUGGCUCGAGGCCGGGAGAGGUGAGAGGUACUUCAGGGGUAGG